This 406-nucleotide ribosomal RNA is filed under the name uncultured bacterium. Its description in RNAcentral is "partial 16S ribosomal RNA". It matches the Rfam family "Bacterial small subunit ribosomal RNA", at positions 29 to 526 of the family's 1533-position model. The record is from RNAcentral.
AUUGAACGCUGGCGGCAGGCCUAACACAUGCAAGUCGAGCGAGCGGAGGCCUGGUGAGUAAUGUCUGGGAAACUGCCUGAUGGAGGGGGAUACCUACUGGAAACGGUCUCUAAUACCGCAUAACAUCAGAAGGGCCCAGAUGGGAUUAGCUAGUAGGUGGGGUAAUGGGUCACCUAGGCGACGAUCCCUAGCUGGUCUGAGAGGAUGACCAGCCACACGGGAAAUGAGACACGGUCCAGACUCCUACGGGAGGCAGCAGUGGGGAAUAGUGCACCAUGGGCGCAAGCCUGAUGCAGCCAUGCAGCGUGUGUGAAGAAGGCCUUCGGGUUGUAAAGCACUUGCAGCGGGGAGGCGUUACCCGCAGAAGAAGCACCGGCUAACUCCGUGCCAGCAGCCGCGGUAAUUC